This is a non-coding RNA of Onthophagus taurus, 638 nucleotides long. Lineage: Eukaryota; Metazoa; Arthropoda; Insecta; Coleoptera; Scarabaeidae. The record is from RefSeq and is a predicted model, not a curated record.
GUAACCUUCAAUGUUUUGAAUUGGACUUCCUCGAAUUAAUCCGGCUAAAAUAGCUAAAUGGCCGUUGUGGACCCCAUCCUCAAUUGCAGUUAUUUCUUUAAUUGACGUGUCGUGUGCAAAAAGGAGAUAAGGGCGGCGUAGUAACGCCGUCGGCCGCCAGGAGAGCACUGAUCUCACCCCGACUCGGGUCAUAGUGUAGUCCGGGAAAUCAUCCCCGUCCACUUCCCAACGCCCUCCUUUAAAGCAACUAUACGAGAAAAAUAGUAACCCUCUCGAAAUCAAAGGGGGCACAAAAGACAUCAUCGGCUUGGCAUUCGGAAGCUGUAUCGAAUUUUGGGGCUGUUACAAAAGCACAACCUCUUUUUACGUUGGUAACCCCAUUAACUUUAUGGAUUCGUUUAAUACAAGCCGGUUGGUUAUUUGCAGAAUCCGCACUGUUCCCACAAGUUACGAUUUUAUCACAAACUUCAUCUUUAUUCCCACUACAAUCAUAGCAUUGCAAUGAAUAAACUAAAAAAGAAUAAUUUCAUCUGAUUCUUCGUUCCCACCUUGAAACGUUUAAGCUGUUAUUUAUUCCAUUACGUCACCGCAUGAUUUCACAGGUGGGUAUAAAAAAUUAAUUCCAUUUAAGGUCAAUC